Molecule: long non-coding RNA, 617 nt
Organism: Vitis vinifera (wine grape)
Lineage: Eukaryota; Viridiplantae; Streptophyta; Magnoliopsida; Vitales; Vitaceae
Exons: 3
Source: RefSeq, a predicted model, not a curated record
UAAGCUGUAGCAUAGUAUCUCUAUCUAUAUAUACUCACAGUUCCAUUAAUGAGAAAUCAGAACACAAAAGAAUGGGUAUUACUACUUCCCUCUCAUAUCUGUUGUUCUUCAACAUCAUCCUCCCAACCUUAACGGCUUCUCCAAUAUUGUUUCAGGGGUUCAAUUGGGAAUCAUCCAAAAAGCAAGGAGGGUGGUACAACUUCCUCAUCAACUCCAUUCCUGAACUAUCUGCCUCUGGAAUCACUCAUGUUUGGCUUCCUCCACCCUCUCAGUCUAAUGCAUCCGAGGGUUGAUUGUCACUUCUCAAUGAAUGGAAGCAAUAGGGUCACCCUCGAAGGUGGACAUAUAGGUGUUGUUAGGAGUGUGCUUCCUAUGUCCAGCAAGCAGAUUGGCACCACCCAAAGCCAAGGCAUCUUUGGAUGCAUUCCUUUUAAUUUAAAUUUUUUCCACAAAAUUUUUCAUUUCUUUUUAGUGGAGAUUGAAAUUUUCCGUUAGUGGUGGUGUGAAUUUUUUGUACCAUUUUUGUAUCCCUUUUAAUUUAAGAUUAGAUUGAAACUUUCAUCAAGUAAUAAUAGAAAAAAAAAAAACAAUAUUGAUAAAUUGUGUUACAAUUUAUA